UCAGUAAGUUGGGCACUCUAAGGUGACUGCCGGUGACAAACCGGAGGAAGGUGGGGAUGACGUCAAAUCAUCAUGCCCCUUAUGACCUGGGCUACACACGUGCUACAAUGGACGGUACAAAGAGCUGCAAGACCGCGAGGUGGAGCUAAUCUCAUAAAACCGUUCUCAGUUCGGAUUGUAGGCUGCAACUCGCCUACAUGAAGCUGGAAUCGCUAGUAAUCGCGGAUCAGCAUGCCGCGGUGAAUACGUUCCCGGGCCUUGUACACACCGCCCGUCACACCACGAGAGUUUUAACACCCGAAGUCGGUGGGGUAACCUUUUGGAGCCAGCCGCCUAAGGUGACAGAUGUGGCU
Molecule: ribosomal RNA, 353 nt
Filed under: Caryophanales bacterium
Lineage: Bacteria; Bacillati; Bacillota; Bacilli; Caryophanales
Description: bacterial SSU rRNA
Rfam family: Bacterial small subunit ribosomal RNA
Source: RNAcentral